CAAAAUAGACAGGAAAAAGAAUAGUGAAAUAGCUGACCCUAGAACCAGAGGCGACGCUACACCUGUGGUGGCUGAGGUAACUGCAGCACUGCCGACAUUAGCGGCAGAAACCUUUAUUUUCACGGUGCAUGCAUUUGAGUUCUGGCUGGGCAGCUCCUUCUUGUCAUAAACACCGGGAGAGGAGCACUUGUAGCAGUAUGUUGCUGCAUUCUCCGGCAGAUGUUCUACACUGAACGUGCGGCGCCCGUUUUCUGUCUCGAGCUUGGCAGACGGCAACUCUUCUGACAGCUUCAAAGAUUUGUGACAAUAUUCAUCGAAGAUCUCUGUCGCGCUUUCUGGCGUCAAGUUGUCAAUGCCGGUGUCGCAUUGGAACGAAGCGAUCUUGGAUUCGUUGGUAAUCUCCAGCUCCAUGGUCUUCCUUGCAGCUGUGCAGGCUGCAGACAAUUGAGGGACGUGCCAUGGGGCUCAGUGACGAACAGGAUUUCACAACGACACAGAAUGCACUGGAGACACGGGUCUUCAUUUUAUCGGCGCGGUCAAUAGAAAGGGAUCGCAAUGUGCCCUUUUGUUUUAGCUGGGUCAGCUGCGGGGUUCCUCUGGCUUCACCUAGCACCAGGCGGAUACUUCGUCGGUAACAGUUUAUUUGGUAAGACGACAGUCCAUAAUCUCUAAUAUUAGUGGUAUUUGAAAGCCCACACGCCGGAGAUAUUCGUAUGUUUGGGGCUGAUGUACCACCUCGAAACGAGGCGUUCAUUUUUGUGCUUGUACGAAGACAGAUGUGCGUGAUGUCGGCUCCCACAAGGCUUCCGCGAACAGUCAAAGACUCGAGAAUCACAAGUGUCGGGCUUACUGUUGGCAUUUUGAUCAGCGGGAACUGUCACUGUGACGAUGCAUUUCUCUGUAGGUACGGUUUCAGGGACAGGAGGUUUAGACAGAUCCGAGCCUGGUUCAGCGUGUCCCGCUGUACUCGAAGAUUCCGUUGUGGAGGCACAGCCGAAGUAGAUUGUCGUCAUUCGCUCAGGGAGCUUUUUCAGUGUUAAAAAUACUUGAGCUUUGUUUGGAUGGGCUUGAAGUUGUGGCAUUUCUUAGAGAGACGUCUCGGCCUCUUCCGCCUGUGCUUAGACUGGUGACAGUAGCUUUCGACCCUGCGCCGAAAAGCUCCCCCAACGCCUUGUCUUCCUGGAGUUCUUUCUCCAUGUAACAAUGAGUAAG
This 1212-nucleotide long non-coding RNA is filed under the name Toxoplasma gondii VEG. The record is from RNAcentral. Lineage: Eukaryota; Apicomplexa; Conoidasida; Eucoccidiorida; Sarcocystidae.